UUUCACUAAUCGUACAACACAAGUUCAAUGUUCUUACAAUUCCCACAUUCCUGUAAAGAGGACGUAGUACAAAAACUACAAACUUCUAAUUUAUCGUAGCGUCUAAUCUCAUAGAAUAAAAGUUUACUGAACAUGCCCUUACUUACUUAACCAUAAUUGAAAGUCCAUUCCUUUGUUCACAAACUUCCGCCAGCUUCCAUCCAAAUCAACUUCCUUGGAAGGAUUGCAAUCAAAAUUCCAAGUUUCACUACAAGUGUAUCAACAAUUUUUGCAACAUAACCUUCAUUGUUAGCAUGGAAUAAUUUUAUGGGAUUCCAGCCCAUCUCGGCUUUGAUCAACUCAGUUAUGUUGUGACAGAUGCCAAGAUCGUAAAAAUGAUCAUAAAAUACCACUUGCGCCUAUUAAUUAGACGUGAAAACAAUUGCAUUUUAUUUAGACAAACCAUCUCUUACUCGGAGCAUCACAAAGAUGGAUGUUCCUAGCUCUGGUGCACCAAGAUUGAGUGGAAAAAUGUCAGUUGAUAAAUGGGUGGUGAAGCUUCAAUCUUAAGGAUUUAAUAUGGAGAACAAGAUAGAGAAAAUUAGAAGUCAGAGGAUACAUACAUGCUACUUACUCAUUCUCCCACAAUGAACAAAUCUUAAUAUCAAUAAGUGUAUAUUCUAGAGUGCCUACUGAAGUCAUUGGCUUCUAUUCGAGGCUAAUGAUUGUGUGUCCUGGAGGGAUCGUCUUUCACGUUCCCUAAUUUGCAUAUUUAUAUGGUCAUAAACUUGUUGCUUACGAUUUUUCGGGAUAAGAUCGACUCAUUCUCCAGUGAGCCGUAUUGGCACGUCCCUUAACUUUAGCAAAGUGAUCUCGGGCUUCUCACUUUUUCCUACCUGCAAAAUUGCGCCAUCGAGCUCGAGUAGAUGUUUAAUGAACUUUCUGAGCGCAAACUGCUGCCACAUUUCAACAUUAUACCAGUUUGGCCAAAUCCAUUUCAUGCCAAUCUGGUUAUCUCAGCAAGAGCUGAAAGGAAACCAUCAAAUUGGAUCAGCUAAGUAAAGUAAUCUUGUCUGUAAAAGUUGAUGACAUAAAUUGUUAAAAUUCCAAAAAUUGAACAUAAACUUUUGUUACAACAGUCAACCCUUCAUCUGGACUUCGGACCAACUAUGAUUCAACAUAGGCGGAGUUUAAAUUAUACAAGGAAUAAUUAAUUAAUAAAUUUAUACAUUAUGUUAUUUCGUAUACAACUUUUUAAAAUUAAAAACAUCAGGUUAUUAAAUCAUUUUCACUUAUAAUUUGUUCGAAGAUAUCUAACUAAUUAUAAAUGUGACACGUGGCCAGUUCCAUUUGCAAUGUCUUCUUGAUUCAUCGAGGUGAGCUAUGACCUUAACCCCUGUCAUGGCCCCCUAAUACUUGAAGCUCCUUUACUGAUCAGAAAUCUUUAUUGCAAGAGCUAACUCUGUAGCAGCAUCGCAGGGAGAAUAUGGUAGCAAAUGGAUGUUACCCUGUAUCGAAUAACACAACAUGGGCCGAAGAAUGUAGUAUCUUAGCCAGAGAAACAUUUUCACUUGUACGUGUUGCAUUAUCAACCAACAUAAGAAACAAGUGAAUUAUUAAUUCUGUCAAGUCAUCCUAGCCAGUAGCCAUUUAGCCCUGCCUCAUCCAGUUAAAACUUGCAACUGUUAACAACCCAGAAAGUCUAAAGCAGAUGGAAACUUUAGGUUGUAAAUAUAGCAACAGAACAGAAGAGAAGCAAAUAUUUAGAGCUUUUUGUUGAUCAGGCGACACCUGGAUUUGGAUCUUAGCACCCAAAAAGUCUGUAUGUACAAACGAUCUAGGCCUGUAUUCGGAGUUUCCCUGGGGUUGGUACUGUUCGAGUGCAGAAGAAGCAAGGAUCUUAUUUUCUUCCAAGCCAUCUCUACGCUGAAAGCCAUAAAGACAUUGACAAGUCCAUCUUCUUUUCCCUCUGCCGAUGAUCUAUCUCCCUCUCUUAUUGACAUAGAUAGCGGGUCCUACAGAGAGAGGGCCUUUGGUUCAGUUUCACUCUGAACAAUGUCCCUCGUUUGAGCCCCAUUAAUUUUCAUUACAUUACAUUUCAUUUUUUUCUCUCUUAUUUUCAACUAGACAAUCUUCCAUAAAAUAAUAUUACACGUAAAUCGAAAAUUUUUCCUUCUUUUUCAACCACUUCUUUUUCAAAAAAAUACUAUUUCACCCAUUAAAUUUUCCACGUAAUGGGGGCCAAACAGGGGCAUAAUAGAAUUUUGAACCCGAAUGAUUUCUAUUCCUAACAAAGUUCACAGCAUAUGGUUCAGCUUCUGAAUAAGUUCAGAGGCAUGUCUUGGAUGAACAUGCUUUCAUUUCAUUCCACAAUCUGCAUUUUCACGGUCUUAGAUCUGUUGGUUGUGCAUUUUGGACUAGAAUAUAUCAUGAAUCUUAAGUCAAAAUAAAUUAUCAUGGAUAUCUCUGACGAGUCUGGAUAAAUAUCGGAUGAACUUGUUUUCAGUCCAUAUUUUCAAACCAGCUCAUAUACUGCUUCAUUUCACCUUAGGAACUAUUUUCUAGCCACUGGAUCCAUGCCAAUCUGAUCAUCUCAAGAAGAUCUGAAAAAAACCCUUCAAUUUGGAUCAGUCACAGAAAUUCGAAGCAUGGCUGGGCACAAUAUGUCAAAGAAGUAGUGGUGUCAAACGAGCUGGGCUAGGUCAAUGUUAGGGUUGUAACUGGAAGAAAAGAAGAACAGAAAUUAAUAACAGAUAUUUGAUUGAAUUGCAGAGAAUUACAGGUGAGUAAAUGACAAACAAGACUCCUUUCUUUCACUCAAUAUUUGCCUAUCUUCUACCCUUCCUCCUACCUUUAUUUAUAGCAAUUUCCUAACUAAUUCCCCUCCCCACUUGCCCUUGUAACAGAAUUCUGUUGCUGUCCCUGCUUCUCACGUCUUCUGGGCUCUUCUAGAAUUGAAGGCUUAUCAGUCAACAAGGUUACACGGCCUAUGUGCAGGCCGGGUUGUUUAUCCAUUAUAUAUUGAGUUCUUUUAGUAAUAAACAAUGCAAAAUGUUUUAUAUUCAAAAGAUUGAAGUACUGAACAAAACUAAACUUAGUUUAUUCUUUAAAUCUAAACACAACCCUCCUCCUUUAUCCGGGCUUGGGACCGGCUAUGAUUAGUCAUAGGCGGAGUUGAAAUUAUACACGGAAUAAUAUAUUAUGCAAUUCCGUGUACAACUUUCUAAAAUUAAAAACAGCAGAAUAAUUAUAUCAUUUACACUUAUAAUUCCUUUGAAGAUACCAAACAAAGUAUAAGUGUGACAAGUGGCCAGACCCAUUUUGACACCACUAUUAAAGUUACGAGAAAAAAAAGUUCGAUUCUGUUAGACUUAAAGCACAAAAUUUUAUAAAUCAAAAUCAAAUGGUAAGGGCUGAGAACAGAUUCUGUGUCUAAGUUCUGUCCAACUAAAUUCGGCAGACCAUUAAGGAAAAUUCUAUUAGGUGGUCGGUUUAAAACCAACAAAUAUCAGUAAUGAGAUAAAAUUGAGAACCUUUUGACAAAACUAUCCACGGAUGAUCAUGUACAUCAAUAAAUACAAUUAAAUUGAAUCAAGAUGGUAUCUAAGUAACUUUAAAAGAGAAACCAAAAUUUUGAGGAUGUUACUAAAAGAAAAGAAGAAGCAUCGUGUCAUAUUAGAUGAAAAAACAGAAAGAAAUUAUUCACAAUCGCAUCAACUCUUUGUUCACGAACUGAAGAAAUGCAAGACUUGAGAAUUAUAAGAACAAAAGUAGUUUCAAGCAAAAAAAUUAACAUUAAAUACCUCUGCAGAAAGCUGACAUCAUCAUGUUUCCCUUCCAACACAGCCUGCAAAGUUACUAUUUCAUUGUUUAAUUUGUUGAAGACGUUUGUACCCCACUUCAAACAUUAAUACUUGAGGAUCCUUUACUGAAGAAGCAUUUUAGAAGAGCAAACUCUGUAGCAGCAUUCCAGGGAGAAGAUAAUAGCUAUCUCAUUUAAGGAUUUGCCAGUAUGAGACCACAUCAUGGAAAAACUAAGUAUGAACUUGCGAAUAAAAAUCUUCUAUCUCAGUUUCUUCUAAUUCAUAUUCACGGUUCAUUGCCAAAAUUCUUGGUUUCUAAUGAAGUGUACGAAAUGCAUCCUUUGUUUUGUUGAAAUAUUGUACCCCUCAUCAACACUUGAAGGUUCUUUACUGAAGAAACAACACAGAUCCCAAGAGCAAACUCUGUAGCAACAUUCUGUGGAGAAGAUGAUAGCUGUCUAAUUUGCCUGUACAAGUUGAUCAUAUACUGCAUCAUGGCGAAAUAAAUUAUGAAUUUGUCAAAAUAAAUAAAUAGAUAAAUAAAUAAACUUCCAUCUCAGUUUCUUCCAAUUCAUCCUCAUGGUUCAUUGCCAAAAUUCUUGCUUCCAAUUAAGCGAAAAAUAAUGUUACUGUUGCAUUCUUUGUUUUCUUGAACAUAUUGUACCCCUCUUCAAACUCUAUUAAUUGAAGUUCCUUUAGUGAAUAAGCAAUAAUUAUUGCAAGAGCGAACUCUGUAGCAGCAUUCCAGGGAGAAUACAGUAGCUAAUGGAUGUCACCCUCUAUCGAAUAGCACAACAUUGGGCAGAGAAUGUAGUAAUUUAGUCAGAGAAACAUCUUCACUUGUACAUGUUGCAUUAUAUAAUAACAUAUGAAACAACCAUGUUGUUGAUUCUGCCAAAUCAUCCUAGCCAUUUAUUUCUGCAUCAUCCAGCUGCUAACAAUCUAGAGAGACUAAAGCAGAUGGAAACUAGGUUAUAGAUAUGAUAAGAGUUUUGAACCCAGACGAUCUCUAUUCCAAGCAAAGUUCACAACAUACGGUUCAGCUUCUGAAUAAGUUAAGAUGUGUCUUGGAUUAACUUGUUUUUGUUUCAUUUCCCUUAAUCUGCGUUUUUACACGGUCUUAGAGUUGUUGCUUAUGGAGUUCGGACUAGAGUAUCAUGAAUCUUGGUUAAAAUAACUUAUCUUAGAUAUCUCUGACAAGUCUGGAUAAAUAUCAGAUGAACUUGUGUUCAGUCCAUAUUUUCACAUCUGCUAAUAAACUGCUUAAUUUCACCUUUGGAAUUAUUUUCAAGAUACUGGGUUCCCUUCCAUGCCAAUCUGGUCAUCUUGAGAAGACCUGAAAAGAAACCCAUCAAUUUGGAUCAGUCACAGAAAUUCAAAGCAUGCUUCUGUUUUUAUAAGAAUUACAAGUAAGCAAGGCACAUUAGGUCAAAAAGUAGUGGUGUCAAAUGAGUCAAGCCAGGUCAACAAGGGUACACAGUCUGUGUGCAGGCCGUGUUGUUGGUCCAUUGUUUAUUAAAUUUUCUAGUAAUUAAUACUACAAAAUGCUAAAUUUGGAAGAUUGAAGCGCUGAACAAGAACUAAACUUAGUUUACUCCUAUUAUCUAAACACAACCCUCCUCCUUUAUCCGAGCUUGGGACCGACUAUGAUUAGACAUAGGCGGAGUUGAAGUUAUACAUAAAAUAAUAUGUGCUAUUUCGUGUACACCUUUUUCAAAUUAAAAACAUCAGAUUCAUUAAAACUUAUAAUUUAACUGAAGAUACCAAAUAAAUUAUAAAUGUGACAGGUGGCCAGACCCCAUUUUGACACCACUAUAUUAAAGUCACGAGUAAAACUAUGUUCAAUUCUGCUAGAUUUCAAGCACAUAAUUGUAGAAAUCAAAUGGUAAGAAAGCUGAGAUCAGAUUCUCUGUCUAGUUUGUGUCCAACUAAAUUCGGCAGACCAUUAAGGAAAUUUCUAUUAGCUGGUCAAUUAAAAACCAACAAAUAUCAGUAAUAAGAUGAAAUUGAAAACCUUUUGACAAAGCUGUCCAUGGAUGAUCAUGUACAUUAAUAAAUACUAUUAAACUGAAUCAAGAUGGUAUCUAAAUAACUUCAAAAAAAGAAACCAAAAUUUGAGGAUGUUACUAAAAGAAAAGAAGAAGCAUAUUGUCAUAUUAGAUAAAACACACAAGCAAAUUAUUCACAAUUGCAUCAAAAAAAUUUGAGGAAGUUACAAAAAAAAAAAAAAAAAAAAAAAAAAAGGAAGCAUAUUGUUAUAUUAGAUAAAACACACAAGCAAAUUAUUCACAAUUGCAUCAAAUCCUUGUUCACAAAUUGAAGAAAUACAAGACUCUUGAAUUAUAAUAACAAAAGCGGUUUCAUGCAAUAAUAAUAAUAAUAAUAAUAAUAAUAAUAAUAAUAAUAAUAAUAAUAAUAAUAAUAAUAAAUUACCAUCCAAUACCUCUGUAGAGAGCUUACAUAGUCAUGCUCCUCCAAAACAGCCAGCAAAGUUAUUAUUGCAGCCUUUGUUUUUCGAAGAUGUUGAACCCCUCUUCAAACGUCAAUAGUUGAGGGUCCUUUACUGAAGAAGCAUUAUUGAAGAGCAAACUUUGUAGCAGCAUUCUAAGGAGAGGAUAAUAGCUGUCUCAUUUAAGGAAUUGCCUGUAUGAGUUGAUCAUAGACUGCAUCAUGGCAAAACUAAGUAUGAACUUGUGAAAAAAAAAAUCUUCUCAGUCUCUUCCAAUUCAUCCUCACGGUUAACUGCCCAAUUCUUGUCUUCUAACAAAGCGUUAUCAAUGCAUACUUUGUUUUGUUGAAAUAUUGUACCCCUCCUUAAACCUGGCACUUGAAGGCUUUCUACUGAAGAAACAAUACGGAUCCCCAAGAGCAAACUCUGUAGCAACAUUCCAGGGAUCUCAUUUGCCUGUACGAGUUGAUCAUAUAGUGCAUCAUGGAGAAAUAAAUUAUGAACUUGGGAACAAAAAUCUUCAAUCUCAGUUUCUUCCAAUUCAUUGCCAAAAUUCUAUCGCAAGCGCAAACUCUGUAGCGGCAUUCCAGGAGAAUAUAUUAGCAAAUGGAUGUCAACCUGUAUCGAAUAGCACAACAUUGGGCAGCAAAAUGUAGAAAUUUAGCCAGAGAAACAUCUCCACUUGUAUUUGUUGCAUUAUCAAUCAACAUAUAAAACAACCAUAUUGUUAAUUCUGUCAAAUCAUCCUAGACAUUUAGUCUUGCCUCACCCAGUUAAAACUCACAACCGUUAACAAUCUGAAGAGACUAAAGCAGACAGAAACUUUAGAUUAUAGAUAUCAUAGAAUUUUGAACCUGACUGAUUUCUAUUCCUAGCGUAGUUCACAUCACACGGAUCAGCUUCUGAAGAGGCGUGUCUUGGAUGAAUGUGUUUUUGUUUCAUUUCACUUAAUCUGCGUUUAUACACGGUCUUAGAGCUGUUGCUUAUGGAUUUAGGAAUAGAAUAUCAUGAAUUUUGGUCACAAUAACUUACCUUCAGAAGAGUUUGGAUAAAGAUUAGAUGAACUUGCGUUCAGUCCAUAUUUUCACACCUGUUAUAAUAUACUGCUGCAUUCACCUUUGGAACUAUUUUCAAGCCACUGGAUUCCCUUCCAUGCCAAUCUGGUCAUCUCUAGAAGACCUGAAAAGAAACCCAUCAAUUUGGACUGAUAGAUCAGUAACAGACAUUCAAAGCAUGCUUCUGUUUUUAUAAUAAUUACAAGGAAGCACGGCACAUUAUGUCAGGUAGUGGUGUCAAAUGAGUCAAGCCAGGCCAACAAGGGUACACAGUCUGUGUGCAGGCCGUGUUGUUGGUCCAUUGUUUAUUGAGUUUUCUAGUAAUUAAUUAUACAAAAUGCUAAAUUUGGAAGAUUGAAGUACUGAACAAGAACUAAACUUAGUUUAUUCCUAUUAUCUAAACACAUCCCUCCUCCUUUAUCCGGGCUUGGGACCGGCUAUGUUUAGACAUAGGCGGAGUUGAAAUUAUACGCGUAGUAAUGUAAUACAUAGAUUUCUAUGUAUUUGUUAUUCUGUGAACAAUUUUUUUUAAAAUAAAAAUCUAAAAUUAAUUAUAUCUUAUACAAUUAUUUCAAAUUGUUGGCUAUGGAAACUCUUGUAGACCAGAAGUUCAUGUCACAGCAUUAACUACACCCCCACACUCUCUACCUUUCACCAAUUCUUCUUUAGGGGCAGCCAGUUCUAAAGGCAAGGAGUAAACCAUCAAAUAUUCCAUAGAAAAUUCAACAAACUAUUGUCAAGAAAAUCACUGUUGCAUAAGGAAUAUUACCAUCAAGAAACAACAAAUCUUGAAAUAGAUAUAAAUUCUAAUGAGCUAGAAGGAGAGAGUGGCUAUUAAAACCGAACGGGUGUCGAAGUUAAAUCACUGACAACAAUUAAAUUGAAUGUAAUUAAUCUUUAACAAGAAUCCAAUCAAGUACAAAAUAAAAUCAAAUUAAAGCAUGUUUAUUCAAGAUGCAAGAUUGGUUAUGAGGACGAAGAACCCACUUCAAGUCAACAUUGACAACAAUCAAAUCGAGUGCAAUUAAAUCUUUGACAAGGAUCCAAUCGAGUGCAAAAUUAAAUCGAAUAAAGCAUGUUUUUACACAAAUUAUCUGAUAUUGCCUUCCAAGAUUAAUGAUGAAGAUGAUGAAACCACUGUUAAGUCAACAUUGACAAUAAUCAAAUCGUGAGUAAUAAAAUCUUCCACAAGAAUCCAAUCGAGUUCAAAAUAAAGCAUGUUUACCUUCCAAGAUUGCAAAAUUGGUGAUGAAGACGAUGAAACAACUGGAAGUCAACAUUGACAACAAUCAAAUCAAUGUAAUUAAUUCUUUCACAAGAAUCCAAUCGAGUGCAAAAUCAAAUCGAAUUAAAGCAUGUUUACCUUCCAAGAUUGGUGAUGAAGACGAUGAAACCACCAUAAGUCAACAUUGACAACGAUCAAAUCAAUUGUAAUUAAAUUUUUCACAAGAAUCCUAUCGAGAGAAAAUGAAAUCGUAUUAAAGCAUUUUUACCUUCCAAGAUUGCAAGAUUGGUGAUGAAGAAGUAAGUCAGCCUUGACAACAAUCAAAUCGAUUUAAUUAAAGCUUUCACAAGAAUCCAAUCGAGUGCAAAAUCAAAUUGAAUUAAAGCACUUUUAACUUCCAAGAUUGAUGAUUAAGACGAUGAAACCACUGUAAGUCAGCAUCGACAACAAUCAAAUCGAGUGUAAUUAAAAUCUUCCACAAGAAUCCAAUCCAGUGCAAAAUCAAAUCGAAUUAAAGCAUGUUUACCUUCCAAGAAUGCGAGAUUGGUGAUGAAGAUGAUGAAACCCACUGUGAGUCAACAUUGACAACAAUCAAAUCUAUCUAAUUAAACCUUUCAAAACAAUCCAAUGGAGUGCAAAAUCAAAUCGAAUUAAACCAUGCUUUUACGCAAAUAAAUCUGAUAUCAACUUCCAAGAUACGUGAUGAAGACGAUGAACCACUGCAAGUCCCCCUUUUCCCAAUUCAUUCACAGUAAAAUUUUGGUGGGAAAAAACAGAUAGAGCCGUCUGGCAGUUUUUGAGAAUUGAUUUUUUGAUAUGUGAGAGAAAAGUCAAAAAUUACGGUUUGAAUUGGAAAAUAAGUCAAAAAUUACGACUUGAAUAGGAAAAUAACUGUCAAAAAAAUCAAUUUUUUGGAGUAAAAAUUUCCUACCAAAUGGGGCCAUAGUUUCGCCCUUUGCGCUGUUAAUAAGACUAAUAGACCUUUCAGCACAGUGUAGGUCAAAUAAAUAUAUUGGGCCUGUUUUGCAGCAAUUUUUUUACCAAAAAAAAAAAUAAUAAUUUUUUGAUCGUUAUUUUAUUAUUUCAAUCGUCAUAUUUGAUUUCUUCUUUCACGGGUGGACCCCACUUUUUUCCUAACGAUCAAAAAAUCAAUUUUCAAAAUCACUCUCAAACAGGCUCAUAGACGCAAUUGUUUUCUUUUUGAAAAGUGAGAGAAUCAAAUACCUAUUUUGUAACUAAUUUACUUAUCAUCCUUUGAGUCAGUCACGUGGAAUAAUAAAUUAGCCAACCGUGAACUCGAUCCAAACCAAUCAAAUUGACACGGAUCAAUUUUUUCAAUUGGGAUUUCUCAACACAUAAUCUCGAUUUUAGUAUUUUAUUUAAAUGAAUUUAAAAGAAAAUACUUAAAAAUUGACCAAACUGACCCUACUUGAAUUUGCUUGAAUCGAUUUCGAAUUUUAUCUAUUGAACUUUAAGAUUGAGUUUUUACCCAACCCGACUCUUUCUAUACUAUUAUAGGUCUUUUAUCAUUUGAUAUGCUCUUCAUACAUUGUUUUCUUGAUUCAUAUAUCAAAUUGAUGUUGAUGAUUAUUAAAAAGAAUCGUUCAAUACUAUUAAAUUUAAACUAAUUUUAGUUAAUUGACAAAAAUGGAGAUAUUAAACAGUGAUUGUUUGAUAUAGAACAACAACGCUCAAUCUUUUUUCCAUAUAUUGAUUUAUUAGAUACUUUAUCGUGGAAAAAUACAAUUUAAUUAUUUUUAUGUAUCAACAAAAAUGCCAAUAAUUAUGUUGAAAUAAUACACACAUGUAGGUUUUUUAGAAUUUAUUUUUCAAUACUAAUAACAAGUAUCAAAAUCUUAAAUCAUUUAAAAGCGAGAAAUAUAAAAGCUCGUAUGAACCAUAUAAAAUUCCUUAUUUUUUACUAAUCAUACAACACAAGUUCAAUGUUCUUACAAUUCCCACAUUCCUGCGAAGAGGACGUAGUACAAAAACUACAAACUUCUAAUUUAUCGUAGCGUCUAAUCUCAUAGAAUAAAAGUUUACUGAACAUGCCCUUACUUACUUAACCAUAAUUGAAAGUCCAUUCCUUUGUUCACAAACUUCCGCCAGCUUCCAUCCAAAUCAACUUCCUACGUCUUCGUCCAACUAAUUAAGUAAUUUCAUUAAGUCAAUUAUUUCAGUUUAUCGAAAGAAUCGACACAAAGUAAACUAAACCCCUGUUUGGUACUCAUUUUUGGAGCCAAAAAUGCAUUUUUUCCGUCACAUCAGCACACAAUUUUUGACUUCUACACUCUAAUGGGGGACCCGCGAUAUGAUGUUUAAAAUGCAUUUUCAUCUAAAAAAUGUGCACCAAACGGCCUAUAAACUUCAAAAUAUUAAUCUUGAAUUGUUCAAUUAUAUAUUGUUCGUCAUAAUUUACUGAUCACGUUCCACUCCUCUAAAAGACAUGGGUGGUGAAGCUUCAAUCUUAAGGAUUUAAUAUGGAGAACAAGAUAGAAAAAAUUAGAAGUCAGAGGAUACAUACAUGCUACUUGCUCAUUCUCCCACAAUGAAC
This 11065-nucleotide long non-coding RNA is filed under the name Olea europaea (common olive). RNAcentral describes it as "long non-coding RNA (OEUR_LNC003370)". Lineage: Eukaryota; Viridiplantae; Streptophyta; Magnoliopsida; Lamiales; Oleaceae. The record is from RNAcentral.